RNAcentral lists this ribosomal RNA (253 nucleotides) under uncultured bacterium. RNAcentral describes it as "partial 16S ribosomal RNA". It matches the Rfam family "Bacterial small subunit ribosomal RNA", at positions 524 to 776 of the family's 1533-position model. The record is from RNAcentral.
UACGAAAGGGGCUAGCGUUGUUCGGACUUACUGGGCGUAAAGCGCACGUCGGCGGCACUGUAUGUUGGGGGUGAAAUCCCGGAGCUCAACUCCGGAACUGCCUUCAAGACUGCAGAGCUGGAGGAUGCGAGAGGUGAGUGGAAUUCCGAGUGUAGAGGUGAAAUUCGUAGAUAUUCGGAAGAACACCAGUGGCGAAGGCGGCUCACUGGCGCAUUUCUGACGCUGAGGUGCGAAAGCGUGGGGAGCAAACAGG